Eriocheir sinensis (Chinese mitten crab) is the source of this 1229-nucleotide long non-coding RNA. RefSeq lists it as uncharacterized. Lineage: Eukaryota; Metazoa; Arthropoda; Malacostraca; Decapoda; Varunidae. The transcript has 4 exons. The record is from RefSeq and is a predicted model, not a curated record.
UUGUUGUUGUUGUUGUUGUUGUUGUUGUUGUUGUUGUAGAUUUCAUUAUGCGCUUUGGUUGGAGGAAAAAUGCGCUUUCGUGACUUUUUAUGGGGUGUCUGCGCUUUGGAACCACCCCCUCGCGCUUUAGUAUCGCAACACUGCGCUUUAGUACCGCGUUGCGCUUUCGCACCCACCCUCAGAUUUGAUGUGUUGCGACCUGCACUUCAGUAUCGUUUUGUCGAGGUUCCAGCUACUAUUUUCAGCGAGCCAAUCACAAGCCGAGAAAUUGUUGCAGCGCUGUUCCUGCCACGCGGUGGCCGCCAUUACGCCUUCUUCAUGCAUAUCUUCAGCAGUAAAAACUAUGGUUACUGGGACAAACAGCUUGACUGAUUUGUUGACCAAGACUGUUUGUAGUUUGGGCUUUGUUCAACCAUAAACAAAGGAUGGCUGAACAACUAUGUCCCCUGGAUCUUUCAACUAAACCUCUUUCAGGUUUAGCCAUGAAGCUGUUUAAAGUGCACCUUAUAACAUGCCGAAGACUGUUAUAAAGGUAUCAAUGAAGUCAAGAUCCCAUUCCUGCGAGCCACACAGUGACAAAAUAAAUGACCACAGGACAUAUCUCCCAAGCCAGCAUGUGGAGGUGGAGGUAAAUGUUGAAGAGCUAGCUCCACCUGAGGCCUCUGCUGCUACCCUUGAAACAGUCUAUCAACCUGAAGAAACUUUUCUCCCAAUUGAAGACCCGAAGCCCCAGGAGAUUAUUCUAAAUGUUGAGAACUCGGCAGAGGUCUUGCCUUGUGAUGGAUUAGUAGAUGUACUUUCCCUAACAGUAAAAAAGCAGAGGGAAAAAUCUAAUUGCCCAGCAUGCAAAAAAAAACUAGUUCACCUGCCUCGCCACCUAGUGAGAGUACAUGGAUGGUCCACAGAUAGAGCUAAAAAAAUAUCAUGCAUCAUGGGAACAAGAAAAUACAGAGGGCUCUUUACAAGAAAAGUUAGGAAAACGUGUACAGUCAAGAACUGCUAUGCACAGGUUACUCGAUUGGGUCAGCACAUGAAGAGGGUGCAUGGGAUAUGCCUCCAACCUGAAGCAUUCUAUUCCCAAGCCUCAUCUGAGAACACCCCACUAGAAAAUACCGAAUUUGAGUUACAAGAUAAAGUAAAGCAAAGAUUGAGUUCUGGUACAGGCAGUACAGAUGAAGAAGAGAUAGACUACACAGACAAUAGUGAUGUUGUUAGUACAUAUUGGAAAG